This 22-nucleotide microRNA is filed under the name Mus musculus (house mouse). Its description in RNAcentral is "mmu-miR-710". Its record names the gene mmu-miR-710. The record is from miRBase by way of RNAcentral. Lineage: Eukaryota; Metazoa; Chordata; Mammalia; Rodentia; Muridae.
CCAAGUCUUGGGGAGAGUUGAG